UACGUAGGGUGCGAGCGUUAAUCGGAAUUACUGGGCGUAAAGCGUGCGCAGGCGGUUUUGCAAGCCGGAUGUGAAAUCCCCGGGCUCAACCUGGGAAUGGCAUUCGGGACUGCAAGGCUGGAGUGCGGCAGAGGAGACUGGAAUUCCUGGUGUAGCAGUGAAAUGCGUAGAUAUCAGGAGGAACACCGGUGGCGAAGGCGAGUCCCUGGACAACUCCUGACACUGAGGCACGAAAGCUAGGGGAGCAAACAGG
Molecule: ribosomal RNA, 253 nt
Filed under: uncultured bacterium
Lineage: Bacteria
Description: partial 16S ribosomal RNA
Rfam family: Bacterial small subunit ribosomal RNA
Source: RNAcentral